GAGAGUCCCCAUGGCCCCAGCAGCAAGCCCCUGCCUCUCUCCUGUCCGGCUGCUGCCCCACUCUGAGGCCCAGGUUCUCUUCUCCCAAGAGCGAGUGCGUUGGUCUAAUUGGCAAAACAUUUGAAGAGCUCCUGCACUCACAGAGUGAAACCCCAGGAAACGGAGCCCGCGAGGGAUGCCAAGCUCUCCUAAUAACAACACCUUUGUUUAUUGUGGGAUGUGGGCUGCUGUUGUGAUGCAGGAUCCAGACCUCGAGUAACCCUGUGCGAUGGCAGGCCUUCACCCUGGGACUGGCCAAGGGCCCUAGCCCCUUCAUCAGAGGUCACCCAUGACUCUCCCGCCCUCAUCCGUUUCUGCACAUUCCUCGCCAUGCCCAUCUCCCUCCUGCCCAUCCCGGAGCCCACCGGACUGCACAGCCAGCAUCAGCACAGCCUGUCCUGCUGAGUGGGGCUGCCUGCAGUCCAUGGCACGAGAUAGAGGCAGAACCUGGAGGCAGGCCGAGGUCGCCGCUACUCCUGGCCACUUCCAGACCACCCUGCCACCAUCCUCCCUUCAGUCCACGGUCCAGACUUCCUGGAAGGCACCUUGCAGCCUUCGUUUGCCGAAUUGUGAGAUGCGUUUGCUCACCGGCCUCCUCCCGCUGAGCGUCCCUGGUGUCUGACCCACCUCUGUUUCCUUCUGUAUGCACAGGUGUUUGUUGCAUGACUGAACGACAUUGAGGAGGGGACACGGCUCAGUAGAAACUUCCUUUAAGAUGCAUACAAGCUGCGGCAAAGCAAAGUGUGUUUACAAGGAGUUCCUGUGUGGGCUGGGCAGGGGCAUCAGCUGCUCUUACUGGGGGAGGAUGGUAGUGAUGCAAACACAAGAGGUAGGGUUGGCAGCCGCACCCCUUGCAACUAUCAGGGCAGCCUUGGGGCUUUCACAGGCGUGGUGAGGACCUGUCCUUGCGUGUUUCCCUCUUACCAUGUUACCAUGGAAACACACCAUGCAUGGACCUUACCCUGCGGAUAUGCCCCCUACGUGGCAAAAGGGAUGUGCGGAUGUGAAGGACCAGGAGAUGUGUGACAAUCCUGGGGGACCCAGGUGGGUCCUAAAUGUCACUUCAAGGGUCCUUUUAAGAGGAAGGCAGGUGGCCAGGCUUAUGCCUAUAAUCCCAGCACUUUGGGAGACCGAGGUGAGAGGGUCACUUGAGGCCAAGGCCAGCCUGGGCAAAAUAGCAAGACCUCGUCUCUACAGAAAAAAAUUAAAAAUUAGCCGGGCAUAGUGGCGUGCCCCUGUAGUCUCAGCUACCCGGGAGGCUGAAGCAGGAGGAUCACCUGAGCCCAGGAGAUGGGGGCUGCAGUGAAGCAUGAUGGCACCACUGCACUCCAGCCCUGCAUUCAAGCGCGGGUGACAAAGCGAGACCCAAUCUCAAAAAAGAAAAAGAGAGGGAGGCAGGAGACAGGUGUGAGGAGGGGAAGGGCUGCGAGACAGAGGCUUCGAGGAAAGCAGAAGGUCUCCAGAAGCCUGCAGAGGCCAGGAGGGAGCCUCCCAUGGGGCCUCUGGGAGGAGCCUGCUCUGCCGACGCCUAGAUGGAGCCCCUAACUCUCCUUCUGGAUUUCUGACUCUGGAGCUGUGAGAAACGAACUUCUGUUGGUUGAAGUCACGGGUUGGUGGUUAGUUAUUACAACAGAAACAGGAAACCGGUAUGUCGGGUCGCUCCCAGCCUCAAGCCCCAGCUCUAUUUUCCCAUAAAAGCUAAGUUCUCACCAUGAGGUGCUCUAGCUGCCAGGGUGGAGGAGGGGGUGUCACCCCACACUGAUUUGUGGGCCCAGGGGUGAGGACACCUCACCUGCCACCCAGAACCGGGCCCACAUCUCCCGGCGAGGCCUCCGUGGCUGCAUUGCCGGCAAUGACUAGGUGUUUUAUGCUGAACGUUGAAGAUAUUUUCCACUGGAGAUUUAACACGGAACAUCAAGAACCAUUGAAAUCACUCAUAUCAAUUGAAGAUACAAUAAUUGAACCCCAUAAAGAUUACUGAGAAGCUGGUGGAGCUAUAAGGAGAGGCAUAAAUAGAGAUAAAUUGGGCCCCCUCCACCCCCCCAGCCUCCCCCUGGAAGGAGCUCAUUAGAGAUGCUCACGGGGCCACUCAGUGACAGAGACCCACAGCAGGGAGAGGGGGGCCGGGGGGUUCCCACCACAGAGGGGCCUGAGCAGAUCCAGAAGCUUCUGUGCAUCCGUUAAUGGUCUUGAUCGGGUCCUUGGUGAAAGCGUGGAGCGAAGGGACCCAGGGGAUGACAGCUCUGUUCUCCAGCGGCCUAGGCAUCUCCUUUCCUCUAAGGGCCGCACCCCGAGCCCUGAUCUGGGCCGCACACGGAGCCCCGAUCAUAGCCAUACACUGAGUCCUAACCCAGGUCAUAAUCCAAGCCUCAUCCUAGGCAAAGUCUAAGCCAUGAUUCUGGCCCCAAACUGAGCCCUGCUCUGGUCACAGUCUGAGCUCUGACCAAGGUCACAUACUGAAGGCGGACUGUGACUGGAGGCUGAGUCCUGAGCCCUGGUGUCUCAUCUCAGGCGGGUCCAAGCUCCAGGACUGUGGGUGCUCCCAGAUGUCCACCACAUCCGCUCACGCUGCCCUCUCUCUGAGCUUCUCACAGGCCGGGCCCUGGCUGGGCUCUGCAUAUGGAAAGAAAGGCCCCCUGUCCUCAGGGCAUUUGACUCCCCGCAGGGAGGCAACACCUGAACAGUGAUAUCAGCCAAGUACUGUGGAUGACGGGAGUCCCCAGCCCGGCUCUCCCUGCCCUCCCAUGCCCAGGCCUCCAGCUCUGACCCUGAGAGCCCUCCAGCCGCCGUCUCCGCCCUCUGCCAGGCAGAUCAGAGCACUGCUCCCACCUCUGAGCGGGGCCCCUGUCCUGGUCUGCUGUGUGUAGAGGCUGAGGUCGAACAGGCUGAGCACCGGGGGCCUGGGGUGCACUCCCUGAGUGGCAGGGCAGGGCCCCCUCCAUGGGGCCUCACUCCUGCUUGUCAUGGUUCAGAAGAGCUGAACGGGGAAGCAAAAGGCACAAAGUCAGCCUGUCUGGCUUUGCAAUCUUGGCCUCCCCUCGGCUGCAUGGCACAGAGAGGUUUCUUGCCAUCUCAGAGCUUGGCCUGCCUAGCUGCAAGGGGAUGAUGACGGCAUCUGACUCCUGGGCUGUGAGUGUCAUCGGAGGGGACCCAGGCAAUCACUGACAAGUUCCCGGGGCAUGAAGCCCUCAUGAAAGGGAACACAACCAUGAUCAGGUCCUAGGAGCGCCACACUGCCCUGGACUCCAGACCCGUGAUCCUCCCAUGCUGCCCCCAGGGUCUCUCAAGGGCCCACAGCCUCCCUGCCCUGCUCUGUGCCCCCUUCCUGGGCCCUCCCGCCUGUGGACCCUUCUCCGUGCUGUUCCCUCCUCCUCUCCCAGAUCAACUCUCUAUUUCCCGGCUCCCUGGGCACAGGUGUGAGGCUAGCAGCUGUGACUGUGCAGGGUGAACGGCUGAUGCCCCAGCCACCCUCCCAGGCUCGUAAAUCUGCCCUAUUUCCCUCAAGCCGAUACUCAGCCAGGCCGCCUGCACAAUCCAAUAUAUUUCAGUUACAAGCUGGUCUAUUACCUGAUUCAUAACCGAUCUGUCAACCUGAGAAAUCAAUGCAUCCGUGGGAUGCCACAUACAUAACACCUGGUGCAUAAUUGAAUUCAGGCUCCCUGGCAUCUCAGUGCAUGGCAGGUGCUGCUGGGAACCUCAGCCCCCUCCCCUGGGACAGGGGUAGGGGCAGGGAGAACGUGCCUCCUGGCUGCGGCACCGGGGUGCAGCUCCGGAAGGACGUCUGCAGUUCUAGGCGUGGCUGGGUGAUUCGGAUCCUGGGCAUCCUUGCCAUUCUGUCUCAACUCUAUUUGAAGAGACCUCAGAGCCUUUUCACCCAGCCUCCCACACCUGAGCAGUGGGCCCCCUCUCUGCCUGCACACUCACUGCCUCUGAGCGGCCCAGCCCCCACUCUCUGCCUGCACACUCACUGCCUCUGAGCGGCCCAGCCCCCACUCUCUGCCUGCACACUCACUGCCUCUGAGCGGCCCAGCCCAUUGCAGACAGUACAGACCCACAGAGCCAAAAGUGCUGCAUUUACCAGGCCCCUCCCUAAGAUAUCAAAAUGCCAGCUACUCAGAACCUUCGGGGGAAGGUAUUAUUGGCUCAUUGUAUAAAUGAGGAGUCUGAAGUCAAGGAAACGACCUUCCUAAGUUUGAACCACCAAGCUUGAUUUGAAACCAGAGUCAGAACCCAGACCCACGACCUCUCGUGCAUCUGAGAUGAAGCCCAAGGGGCUGCUCCAGGGUGGUCAGCAGGGGCGGGGCCAGGGUGGUCAGCAGGGGCGGGGCCAGGGGCGGGGACUCCACAAACAGGAGCUUUCGGGGUCUACAGGGUCUGCAUGUGCAGGGGGCGCUGUCUCCCUCUGGUUGGUGUAUUUGUGGGGCAGAAACUCAAGUGAUUGGGCAAGACCCUGCCCGUGUCCAGCUGCCACGUGGCCUUGGGAGGUCUCCUGUCCCCUCCAGUCCACAAGGUCAUCUGAGCUCCUGGUUCCUGUGGCUGGACAUCCUCGCUGACCUCACCUCUGGCGGAUUCAGAGAGGCCAGGAGGUGCAGGCUGGGUGCCCUUGGCAGCCAAACCUUUCUGGAAGCCCAGGGCUGACUUCAGCUGGGUGCCCUUGGCACCUGGACCUUCUAGAAGCCUGGGGGCUGACUCCAGCUGGGUGCCCUCGGCACCUGGACCUUUCUGGAAGCCUGGGGGCUGACUCCGGCACCAGACACAGCUGGGGCUCCCCUCCCUCAUCCCGCCUCGCACCCUGUCAUUGAUUCUCCUUUUCAUGAUCGUGGCACCCACGAUGGAAAUGGCAUCUCAGCUCCUGCAAGGAUCUAUACCCCAAAAUAGCAAAAUAAUUCCCAUGGUGCGAGAAUGCUUCAGACAGAGGCAUGCGGGCUGGGGUUAUUGGGGCCAUGUUUCCACAUGCACCUAAUGUAUGGACACAUCUAUUCCUGGGGCCGCCAAAUCAAUCCAUGUGGAAGCCUGGGGAGCUGUGCGUCUCCCAUGUGUCAGAGCGUGGAGGGAGCGCCGGGGGUGGGGGGCAGGGGCAGAGGCCCAGAUGCUGGGUCCACCAUGGAGGCUGCCAGGUGCUGAGGGGGGUCAUUAAAUACACCCCCCACACCCCUCACUUGUGUGAAGGUCAGAGGACAAAGGACGGACAAAGGCAUCUGGUCACCUCUAAAGGGCCACACAGAUGCCUCUCACCCUCACCCCACAUCACAAAUGAGAAACUGAGGCCCGGUCAGGAAGGCAUCAGGUGGACAGGGGCCAGGACCCCAUUGCUUCAGGCUCUGUGAGUGGCUCCCUCGUGCCAACACAUGCACACAUAUGCACACACAGAGACACACAUGGACACACACACGUGCACAGACAUAUGCACACACACACAAACACGCAUAUACACAGACAUAUGGAGACACAUGGACACACACACGUGAACACACAUGCACACACACAAACACGCAUAUACACAGACACACACGGAGACACAUGGACACACACACAGGCACAUAUGUGCACAGAGACACACAUGGACACACAGGUACACACAGACACCACAAUGCAGAUAUAUGCACAUGCGCAAGGAACACGUGCAUGCACACAUACACAUGCUCACACACAUAUGCACACACAUGCACACACAUGCUCACACAUGCUCACAUACAUAUGCACACACACAUGCUCACAUACAUAUACACACACACAUGCUCACACCGAAGCAAGACACACACAAACACACACAGGCACUUACACACCGGGAAGCACUUCUCAGGGGGUUGUGGCAUCUCUGCCUCUGGUGGCCUCUCCUGCAGGGGUCUCCACUUGGUGGUGUUGGGGGCCCCACCUGAGCCCUGGCGAGACCUCGCCUCCCCUCUCCCGGCUACAGGACAUGCCAGGGCAGGGUGUGGCUUGUUCACCGAAGCAAGCCCCAGGGUGGAUGCAGGGCUCAGGGAAGCCUCUCCCAAGGGAGCACAGGCAAGCGCCCUCAGUGGGGCACAGCUGGAGCAGCGCCUCCAUGGCCACAUGGCUCUGGGGUGAAGCCCGGCUCUUGGGCUGAAGGCCCCUGGUACCUGAGGGCCUCCCAUAUUCCCAUCUGGAAAGUGGGGUUGGCAAUGAUGCCCAUCUGCACAGCCAAGCCAGUCCAACACCUGGUGCCAAGCUGGCACCAGGCACACGGGCACACAGACCCCAGAGUGGACGGUGGGAUGUGAGGGGAAGGGGGAAGGACAGGUGACAGCAGAGGCAGGCUCUGAGCCAGAGUCAUGCAGGACGCACUGCCCAGCACUCCUUUCCCCGAGCCCUAAACAGACUCACAGAAGGUCUCAGCCAAAGGGGCUCUAGAGACCGGGGGGCCCAUCUCACAGAUGGGGAAACCAAGGCCCAGGGAGAAGAGGUUCAUUCAGGAAUACGCAGCAGAUCACAGACCCUCAGAACUCGACGGGCCUCCAGGCUGCUCCCUGCCAGAUGGGAACUCGCAGAGCAGCCACGAGACAGCGGAAGGGGCAGGGGCAGGGGCAGGGGCAGGGUCUGCCGUCUUCCUCUGGGACUCGCCCCAUCUUGAGCCGAACAGAUGAAACCGUUGACAGUGAAGCCUCGCCUGGGAGGACUUCAGCUCACAGCACGUGGGCCGGCCUGAAAGGGAGGACCCAGGGAAGGGGUGCUGGGAGGGCUGGGGACCCGGCAGCUCCUGGCCGGCAUCCUCUAUGAACUGCAGCAAUUCAUUAUCCUUCCUCCAGCUGAUGAGGAUGAUCAGGAGGACAAUUAGUCUUGGAAUUACCGCGGAGGAGACCGUUAAGAGAAAAAUAAAUUAAAAAGAAAUCCAUUCGAGGUGUAAUUGUAAUACAGUGUAUCAUAGUCAAUUGAAUCACAAAUACAAGCUGGUCCCUUGUCGAUUGAUUUCAGCAAGUAAACAAUUUGGGUAUCUAAAUUGGAAACUCGCCGGGAAAAGGAGCAAUGAUUUGGUUAAAGGGAGAACUGAAAACGUCAGGCCAAAAAUUGGUUCUAGGUGUCUGGCUGCUACAGGACUGUGCAGGUGACCCUAGAUGGGAGGGAGGUCACCAGCUCCUCCCUGCCUGCAGGUCAAGGUCACCCCAUCUGGAAGCUACCUAGACCCCAGCAAUGUUACCUGACCUGUGACACCUUUGUUCCUGUGUCCUCCUCUGUGCCGCCCAUGGUGAAUGUGGCUUCUCUGUCUACAUGGAUGCACUCCCACCACACUGGGAGCUUCUGGGGCACAGGAGUCCUGCUUUACUUCCUAUGUUGAGCCCAGGUAGGUGGGGUGGGGGUGCUUAGAAGGCAGCUGUCCAGAGAGCAAAUGAAUGAAUGGGUGGAUAUGUGGGGGACAGGUGGCGAAAUGAAUGAAUGAAUGCAUAGAUAGGGGAUGGAUGGAUGGAUGAGUGGGUUGGUGGAUGGGUGGAUAGAUGGGUGGGUGGAUGGAUGGGAGCUGGAUAGGGAAUGGAUGGGUGGAUGGUAGAUGAAUGGGGGAAUUGGAUGAAUAGAUGGAUGGGUGAAUGGGGGAAAGAUGGGCAAAUGUCUGGGGAAUGGAUGGGUGAAUGGAUGGAUGGGUGGGUAGGGGAUGGAUAGAUGGAUGCAUAGAUGGGGGAUGGAUGGGGAUGGAUGAGUGGAUGGAUAGAUGGGGCUUGGAGAGAUAGAUGGACAGGUAGGUGGGUGGGUGAGUGGAUGGAUGGGGAAUGGAUGGAUAAAUGGGAGAUGGAGGGAUAGAUGGAUAAAUGGCUAGAUGGGGAGGAAUGGAUGGAUACGUGGAUGGAUAGGCAUUGGAGGGAUAGAUGGGUGGGUGGAUGGGUGGGUGGGUGGGUGGAUGGAUGGGGAAUGGGUGAAUAGAUAGGGGAUGGAAGAAUAGAUGGCUGAAUGGAUGGAUAGGUGGAUGGAUGGGGGUUAGAGGGAUAGAUGGGUGGGUGGGUGGAUUGAUGGGGAAUGGAUGAAUGGAUGGAAGGAUAGAUGGAUAAAUUGAUGAUGGGGAAGAAUGGAUGGACAGGUGGAUGGAUGGAUGGAUGGAGGUUAGAGGGAUAGAUGGGUGGGUGGAUGGAUGGGGGUAUGGGUAGAUGGAUGGGUAGAUGGAUGGGGAAUGGAUGAAUAGAUGGGGGAUGGAAGGAUAGAUGGAUAAAUGGAUGGAUGGGGAGGAAUGGAUAGAUAGGUGGAUGGAUGGAUGGGGGUUAGAGGGAUAAAUGGAUGCAUGGAUGGAUGGGGAAUGGGAGGAUGGAUGGGGGAUGGAGAGAUGCUUAAACAGACUUAAAAGACUAAGGUAUUGACAGCAGGUAGCCAUUUCUCCCCCUCUGCAAGAACUUUGGACCUGAGAUUCCAGAGCCCUUUUUAAAUCUUCCAACAAGGAAACUAUUUUGUAGCAAAAAAAAAAAAAAAAAAAAAGCAGAGUCACACCUGAGGCCUCCAGAAUUCCCUGGCUUCCUCCAUCACCCUGAAGCAGGUGGCCUCCUGUGCAAUGAAGAGGGUGCCUGAAGACCCCAGUUAGAAACAAUGCCCCAUGCGGAGGGGGUGCUGUCCUACAGGAUGGGGUGUGUGCUGAGAACGAGGGACUUAUAUCUGGAGCUCCUUCUCCCCCAGGCAGAACCUAUGGGGUGGUGUCUCUCAUGGUUACAUUCUCCACCAGUUCACAUUCCCCUUCUAGGGACUGCCCAAGAUAAUGCCCAGUGCAGGAAUGUUUCCACCAGGGGUCACAGGAAUGGCUCUGCUGCCCUGGGGGCUGAGUUGGCCACCUGUCUGGUGCCACCAAGUUAACAAGCAAAGCAGCAUGAAGGCAGUGGCUGGGGAAUCAACCCUGAUUAUCAAGGAUAGGAGGCCUGAAGAACCACAUGAAGAGAGUGCCCACAACCCAGAGGAUCUCCUGGAUACAGCUGUGUUACCAUGAUGUCCAGUGGAAGACACCACAACCCCAUUCAGGAGGGACCUCCAAGCCUGAAAGCCUCAGAGUGAUGGUUUGACUCACACCACCAGUAAAAUAACUUCCAACAAGCUGAGCAAGAAGAAAAGGGGAAUUGUGGCAAAUUGCAUUUUCCGAAAAUGGUCACCUUACCACUAUUCCAUCAAGAGGUGGUGCUAUGGUUUGAAUGUGUCCCCCAAAGUUCAUGCGCUGAAAACUUUACGUAAACACAAAUGCAAUAGUGUUGAAUGGUGGGACCUUUCAACACUAUCGCAAGGGUGAUUAGGUGCUGAUGGCUCUGCCCUCAUGAAUGGAUUGUCAUUGUUGAGGGAGUGGGUUCCUGAUGAGAGAAUGGGUACAGCCUUUCCCUCUUUCUCACAUGUGCUCUUGUCCUUCUGCCAUAAGAUCAUGGAGCAAGAAGGCUCUUGAAAGAUGCCGGUCCCUGGACCUUGGACUUCCCAGCCUCCAGAACUGUAAGAAAUAAAUCUCUGUUCGAUAUGAAGUAUUCAGUCUUGGGUAUUUGGUUAUAGUAGCACAAGCAGACUAAGACAAGCAGAGUCUCCUUCCCCUCCUCUGGAACCUAGGGAGCUUGUGACUGCUCCAACCAAGAGAAUGUGAUGGAGGUGAUGCCAUGUGACUUCUGAGGAGAAGUCAUAAAAAGGAUGCAGUUUCUGCCUGGCUCACUCUCUUGAAAUGCUCCCCCAGGAGCCAGCUGCCAUCUUGUAAGGAAGCCCAAUCCACAUGGAGAGGAAAAGUGUGGGUGUUGGAUCCUCAGCCCCAGCUUAGGUCCCAGCAGACAGCCAGCAUCAACCAGGAAGCAUGUGACUGAGUGAGGCUUCAGGUGAUUCCAGCCCCAAGCCUUUGAGCCAAACCUGGGGGGCAGGAGGCUGGCAGGGUGAGUAAGACUAGGGAUAUGUAGGGCCAAAGGGAAGAGAGGACCCAUGUUCCUGCCCUGGUCCAGGCCCUGCAUUUUCAUUUUGCACUGGGACCCCCAAAUCCUGUGGCUGCUGCUGAGCGGAAGGGACUUCUCCAGUGAGCUCCCUCGGCAGAUCCAUGGCUCAGAGCUCAAGGGGCCCAGCAGUGUCCUGGGGCCCUAAGGCCAGCAGCCGGGAAGUUCCUGGGCAGUGGGUUCCCCAAGGCACGGUCCCCACAGCUCCCACAUGAGGAGGGUGCCAGGUCCAACCCUCCCACAGCAGCCUGAGCCUCCACGCCCUGCAAGCUUGUCCAUGUCACCCUCCCGGGCAGGAUUUGAGGCAGAGGUGUGUGAUCCAUGCUGUCUCCAUCGUACCAGAGACAGCCAGCAAGGAGGGCAGGAGAGAGAGGGCCACAGACUCCUGAGCCCUGGCCUGGCACAUGAUACCCACUGGACAGACACCUCUGGUCCACUGACUAUGCACCAACGUCAUGUUCUUUCCAUCACCUAUCAGGGGAACUUUCCCCAGAAGUUCAACAAUUCUGACCUUUGGGUUCCCAUAAAUUGUGUCCAGCCUGGGAACCAGAAGACCCAUUUUCAUUCGAGCUCUGCCAUGGAGGUGCUGUACGACUUUGGGGAAGCCCAGUCUCUCUCUGGGCCUUGGCCUCUCAAGAAGGAGGGGGCUAGUGAAGGUGCACAGACGCCCUCCCUCAGUGGCCUGCUGCCUCCCGAGGUGCUACCGUGGCACUGCCCUCCCGUCCACCCCUUCUCCUAUCCUGUCCUGUCCUGGCACCAGAUGGACACCUGCCAGGUGGGCCUGUCUGGCUGCGGCUGCUUGGCUGGGACAGCGGGCAGGGCUCUCAGCCUCCUGCUGCUCCAGACAGGGGACCUGAAGGUGACUGUGACCCUUCAGUCCUGAGUGGGGAGGCCGCGUCUGGCCAGGUGGUAGCAGCUGCUGCCAAGGCAGCACUGUCCUGGCUUCCCCUCCUGCUGGCUCUCAGACUGAACUCCUCACCCCAGAACACCUGCUCCCACCCAGGGCCCACCCCGGGGAAGUGCUGACGGGGCAGGGGCUCAGGGCAGCCAGUCACAGGGCUGCAUUCCACAGUGGGCUGACCUCCCACAUAGCCUCCAAGGUCACGCAGCUCACAGAGAGCGAAGGCAGAGCCCCCAGCCUGGUCCUCCCUCCCUGGCAGCCUGGCUCAGGCAUCUCCCUGCAGGCAAGCCCCUCCUCUCCCGGCUCCAUUUCCUCAUCUGUAAACUGUGCACGUGACCCCGGCCCACGGGCUGUCUCCCAGCUGCGUAGGAGACAAUUGGGUGGUGAGCACCUGGCCCCUCCACCAUCAAUUCUCGGCCUGCCCUGCCCCCAGAGCCUCCUCCCUCAGCCUCAUCAUGAGCCUCCCAGCAAAUGCGGCCUGCCUGGACUGAGUCUGGGCUCCUCAGCCUCUGGAGCCCUCACACCUGCAGCCAGGAGGUGCCAAAUCCAAUUUGCUCCCUGACACCUCCUCGGACAUCCUGGGGCCCGCCUGCUGCAGCAGCAAAUCUGAGAAGGUGGCAGCAGCUCGGGGGCGGACCGUCUGCCCAGCUCCCCUACCUAUCACUGAGCCCAGCAGUGCUGCCUCAGUGGUGUGUUUCUCAGGCCCCUGGGAAGAAAAUUGUUGAGAAAUAGCUUCACAGAAUCUCUAAAACCCUGAAGCACCAUGUGUGGUGCUGGCUUUGUGGGGGUUUCAGGCCUUGGCGGAGGGCGUGGGGCAGGGAGAGGCUGGGGCCAUCUCCUCCCUCUGCCUGAGCAGGAACCAGCAUCUGCAGACCUAGCUGGAUGCGCGUGGAAGGGGGCGCACUGUCUCCUGGGGGGGUCACAGACUCUGCCUGCCCUGCAGGGUCUGUUGUGGGCCCCCACCCUCAGUCCUUGGCUGAGGAGGGUGCUAGGGACGCCUCAGUGCUGGCCGCUGUGCUGACGCAGCCUGGGGCAGCUGGUGAGACGCUUUGCCCUCAGUGCACUGCCCACCUGGUGCCCUCUGUGCCACGGUGGGCGGAGCAGCCACUCUGCAUGGACCCUCCUGUUCUUGGGGGUCCUACUCCCUACUCCUGGGGGAACAGGUGCAGAGAAGAGGAGCCUGGGAUUGCCAUAGAGCAGGCUGUACCCUGCCAGGGACCCCCUUCAUGCCCCCAACGUGGAGCUGGGUGGCAAGCAGCAGAGAGGCCACAGCCUGGGAGCAGCCAGGGCCAAAGCCAGCCCUUUGCUUUCGGAGUGGGAAGCUGAGGUCUCAGGAGGGGCAAGGGCUUGUCCUAGGCCCUCAGGGAGGAAGACAAACGACCUCCGCCCAUCAAGGGCUCAGUGUGGCAUUCCAGGCCACUCAGGCAGCCUCCUCCUCGGGGAAGCCCCUCUUGGUGGGGGCUGGGACAGCCCCAGGCAAGGAGCAGUGCCCUGGCUCCACGCAGCACCAAGCCAGCUUCCCACCCCUCCACCACAGCAAAGCCCCCAGCAUGCCCCUCCCCAGCUGUGAGCACAGGUUCAUGUUCAUACACAAGCUCACACACAGCCACACUCACUCCCCAGCAAGCCCCAGCCUGCCGCCUGCAGUCCUGUUGGCCUCCAUUCCCAUCCACAUCCCACCCAGGCUUCAUCUCAGGGGUCCCUGACAGGUGAAGACAGGCACGUGGCUGGAUAAGCCACAGCGGUUUAUUCGGGUGCUCAGCUGGGGCCGACACAGGGGCGAGU
Molecule: long non-coding RNA, 12600 nt
Filed under: Homo sapiens (human)
Lineage: Eukaryota; Metazoa; Chordata; Mammalia; Primates; Hominidae
Description: non-protein coding LINC00051:6
Source: RNAcentral